GACCGGCUCUACGCAGCACCCCCCACGUUCGCCAUGGGGAUCCUCCUGAGUAAAGCUGAGCCAGUCCUUCGAGGAAAGCAUUCUUUCCCCUUCCCUGCCAAGACUCUUUGAGACCCCCAAACCAAGCUGACGUGAGGGCGGAGGGACAGCACCAUCCCCCCUCGCAUGAUGAGGGAGGCGAAGCCUACAGAAGCUAAGGGCCUGUCCCGCGUCGCGCAGGUGGUCGCCGCAGAUCUGAGACUUGGGCUCCUUCCUUCCGCCGGGCACUGCCGAGGGCGUCAUUCUGUCGUUGGGCCAGUAGGUGGCGCUGGAGGCCAGGCCUAGGCAGGCGCCCGGCCAGCCUGGGGGCUCCGGGCACUGGGGAAACAGCAGACAAACCGUCUUCUCCAGCUAUGGAGCGCUUGCUGGGUGCCAGAGCUAUGCUGGGGCCCUUCACGCAUUAGCUUGUCUAACCCUCCCAUUAUCUUGUUUAUUAUCCUAUUUUACAGAUGAGGAAACUGAGGCUCAGAGAGUCUUUUAAAGUAACAUUCCUACAGCUGCCAGCUUUGUGUAUGGCGGGACCAUGGCCGCAGCCCAGUUCAGAGGGCCAAGGAGUGCUUUCACCACCAAGCCCAUCACUGCACAGGGUGGGGAAACAGGGCUUGAGAGCCACCCCCGGUCUUGCUGGGAGUGGGCUGGAGUGACACUCCUUGAACACCCCCCAUGUGCCCGUCAGAGAGCCUGGCGCCUCCCACUCCACCAGUUCCCCGUGACGGUGGAAUGAGGUUCGCUGCGUGCCACACUCUGGAAACUCUAAAGUGCCCUCUGGCCUCAGAGGUCCUUGUUAACCACGCAACCCUCACCCGCUUCAUUCAUAGCCUGACUGACAGAGGGGGCCUGAGAGUUCAGGGGCAACAGGGACACCUGGAGAACUUGUUACCAUGCAGAUGGUCGCGCCUAGCCCCACAGAUUCUGAUUCCGUUGGUUGGGGCCAGGCCAGGGACUAUGCAUUUCUGACAACGGCCCAGGCUGGCUGCUGGGAGGUUAGAAGGUGGCACUUUAAGAUGCACUGUGAUAGAGGGACUAACAACGUCAGGAGGAAGGCACAGAGACCCUCUGGUGGCCUAAGUCUCAGCUAAUGAAAGUUAAGACUUUCUUCUCAGAAAAAUGCUCUAACCCACCUCCUCCAAGAUUUUGCACAGUUUCAGGCGGUUCCUGGAUCCUUGAAGGCCAACCGGGGAUCCCUGACCCCAACGUAAGAGCCGUCCCCUGGUCUAACUGCCAGGCCACCUCUGCCGUGAAGCCUCCCCAGACCUCUUGACAAAGUCGCCUCUCUGUGCUCCCACAGUGCCUAGUGAGGACUUUACUGCACCAGGGUGACUGUUCACAUAUUCGCCUCCCCUCCUGGACUGCAGGACUCGUGGCAGUCACCUUCCUCCUCCUUCCCGGCACGUGGUACGAUCCUACCUCCCUCUGAGAUUGGGUAUAACAUGCGAUUUACCAUAGCUGACGAAUGCUGGCCGUACAAACUUUACGAAUCUGUGUGGUUCACCGUAUUCUCUUCACCAGUGAUCUGGGAAAUGCGUAUCAAGUGGAGGGGCCGCCAGCUGCUGUCCCUAAGGACUGGGUGAACAGAACUCCUGUCCGCCUGUGUUGGACACACAGCGUGAGUGGACCCUGAGCCUUUGUGGUGCUAAGUACUGGGCUGUUUGUUACUGCAGCAUAACCCGGCUUGUCCUGACUGCCCAGGUGCUUUGAAGGCAGAGCCCGUCGCCCACUGAACUUUGGGUCUCCACUUCCCAGCACAGGCUGGCACAGAGGAGGUGCUCAGAAAUCACACCAGCUACCAUUUAUGAAGACCUGGCUGAGUGCCAGGUGCUGUUCCCUGUUAUGUCAUCUAGUGCUGUCCUCCCAGGUCAGCUGUGACGUGUGACAUGCUCCACACAGUCCCGGCACAGAGGAAGUGCUCGGUAACGGUAGCUGUUAUUUUUUAUUAUGAUGCUUCUCUGCCU
RNAcentral lists this long non-coding RNA (1991 nucleotides) under Equus caballus (horse). Its description in RNAcentral is "lncRNA (ENSECAG00000059331.1)". The record is from RNAcentral. Lineage: Eukaryota; Metazoa; Chordata; Mammalia; Perissodactyla; Equidae.